Molecule: ribosomal RNA, 253 nt
Filed under: uncultured bacterium
Lineage: Bacteria
Description: partial 16S ribosomal RNA
Rfam family: Bacterial small subunit ribosomal RNA
Source: RNAcentral
UACAGAGGGGGCAAGCGUUAUUCGGAAUUAUUGGGCGUAAAGGGCGCGUAGGCGGCCUGGCAAGUGGAAGGUGAAAUCCCUCGGCUUAACCGAGGAACUGCCCUCCAAACUGCUUGGCUUGAGUCCGGGAGAGGUGAGUGGAAUUUCCGGUGUAGCGGUGAAAUGCGUAGAUAUCGGAAGGAACACCUGUGGCGAAAGCGGCUCACUGGACCAUUACUGACGCUGAUGCACGAAAGCUAGGGGAGCAAACAGG